ACGAACGCUGGCGGCAGGCCUAACACAUGCAAGUCGAGCGAGACCUUCGGGUCUAGCGGCGGACGGGUGAGUAACGCGUGGGAACGUGCCCUUUUCUGCGGAAUAGCCUCGGGAAACUGAGCGUAAUACCGCAUACGCCCUUUGGGGGAAAGAUUUAUCGGAAAAGGAUCGGCCCGCGUUGGAUUAGGUAGUUGGUGGGGUAAUGGCCUACCAAGCCUACGAUCCAUAGCUGGUUUGAGAGGAUGAUCAGCCACACUGGGACUGAGACACGGCCCAGACUCCUACGGGAGGCAGCAGUGGGGAAUCUUAGACAAUGGGGGCAACCCUGAUCUAGCCAUGCCGCGUGAGUGAUGAAGGCCUUAGGGUUGUAAAGCUCUUUCAGCUGGGAAGAUAAUGACGGUACCAGCAGAAGAAGCCCCGGCUAACUCCGUG
RNAcentral lists this ribosomal RNA (432 nucleotides) under uncultured bacterium. Its description in RNAcentral is "partial 16S ribosomal RNA". It matches the Rfam family "Bacterial small subunit ribosomal RNA", at positions 29 to 507 of the family's 1533-position model. The record is from RNAcentral.